UACAGAGGGGGCAAGCGUUGUUCGGAAUUACUGGGCGUAAAGAGCGUGUAGGCGGCCAUGUAGGUCCGGUGUGAAAACUCGAGGCUUAACCUCGAGAUGUCAUCGGAAACCAUUUGGCUAGAGUCCGGAAGAGGAGAGUGGAAUUCCUGGUGUAGCGGUGAAAUGCGCAGAUAUCAGGAAGAACACCAAUGGCGAAAGCAGCUCUCUGGGACGGUACUGACGCUGAGACGCGAAAGCGUGGGGAGCAAACAGG
RNAcentral lists this ribosomal RNA (253 nucleotides) under uncultured bacterium. Its description in RNAcentral is "partial 16S ribosomal RNA". It matches the Rfam family "Bacterial small subunit ribosomal RNA", at positions 524 to 776 of the family's 1533-position model. The record is from RNAcentral.